GGACUACACGGGUUUCUAAUCCUGUUUGCUCCCCUUGCUCUCGUGCCUCAGUGUCAGGUUUAGGCUAGAAAACCGCUUUCGCCACAGGUGUUCCUCCACAUAUCUACGCAUUUCACCGCUACACGUGGAAUUCCGUUUUCUCCGCCAUCCCUCAAGAUUAGCAGUUUUGAGUGCAGCUCCGAGGUUGAGCCUCGAAAUUUCACACCCAACUUACUUACCCACCUACGCACCCUUUACGCCCAAUAAAUCCGAUUAAUGCUUGCACCCUCCGUAUUACCGCGGCUGCUGGCAC
RNAcentral lists this ribosomal RNA (292 nucleotides) under uncultured bacterium. RNAcentral describes it as "partial 16S ribosomal RNA". The record is from RNAcentral.